GACGAACGCUGGCGGCGUGCCUAAUACAUGCAAGUCGAACGGGGUCCAUGGAAGCUUGCUUUCGGAAGACCUAGUGGCGAACGGGUGAGUAACACGUGAGAAACCUGCCCCAGACUCUGGAAUAACUCAGGGAAACUUGAGCUAAUGCCGGAUAUGCUCACGCGACCGCAUGGUCGAGUGAGGAAAGUUUUUCGGUCUGGGAGGGUCUCGCGGCCUAUCAGCUAGUUGGCGGGGUAACGGCCCACCAAGGCAACGACGGGUAGCUGGUUUGAGAGAACGAUCAGCCACACUGGAACUGAGACACGGUCCAGACUCCUACGGGAGGCAGCAGUAGGGAAUCUUGCGCAAUGGGCGAAAGCCUGACGCAGCAACGCCGCGUGCGGGAUGAAGGCCCUCGGGUCGUAAACCGCUUUCAGUAGGGACGAAGAUGACGGUACCUACAGAAGAAGCCCCGGCUAAAUACGUG
RNAcentral lists this ribosomal RNA (466 nucleotides) under uncultured organism. RNAcentral describes it as "bacterial SSU rRNA". It matches the Rfam family "Bacterial small subunit ribosomal RNA", at positions 28 to 507 of the family's 1533-position model. The record is from RNAcentral.